RNAcentral lists this long non-coding RNA (355 nucleotides) under Parus major (Great Tit). Its description in RNAcentral is "lncRNA (ENSPMJG00000015117.1)". Lineage: Eukaryota; Metazoa; Chordata; Aves; Passeriformes; Paridae. The record is from RNAcentral.
CUCUGAUUUGCCCUGUAACCUGUCUCUGAUAGUGCUGUGACUUUAGACAGCCCUGCAGGAUAUGACUCUGAUUUAUGGAUCCUCGCAUUGCUGUGAGCUUUGGUCUCCAGUUGGGCUUUCCUUGCCUGGAUUGAAUUUUCCACAGUCAGUUCCUGAGCAUUACCAGGAUGCUAGGGGUUUUUUGGUUGCAGUUCUCUGAUGGUUUGGGACGUGCCUACGCCUUGGACCUCCUUCACAGAACAGGAUUGUUACACUUGGGUUGAGUUCUUCCAGUAAGAGACAGGAGGGUGUAGGACCUGGCUAAGGAUGACAUAAAGGUAAUAAAGACUUGUAGCCUUGGAAAGUGGAGGUAUAG